Molecule: ribosomal RNA, 429 nt
Filed under: Acidobacteriota bacterium
Lineage: Bacteria; Pseudomonadati; Acidobacteriota
Description: Acidobacteria bacterium partial 16S ribosomal RNA
Rfam family: Bacterial small subunit ribosomal RNA
Source: RNAcentral
UGGGGAAUUUUGGACAAUGGGGGAAACCCUGAUCCAGCCAUCCCGCGUGUGCGAUGAAGGCCUUCGGGUUGUAAAGCACUUUUGGCAGGAAAGAAACGUCAUGGGUUAAUACCCCGUGAAACUGACGGUACCUGCAGAAUAAGCACCGGCUAACUACGUGCCAGCAGCCGCGGUAAUACGUAGGGUGCAAGCGUUAAUCGGAAUUACUGGGCGUAAAGCGUGCGCAGGCGGUUCGGAAAGAAAGAUGUGAAAUCCCAGAGCUCAACUUUGGAACUGCAUUUUUAACUACCGGGCUAGAGUGUGUCAGAGGGAGGUGGAAUUCCGAGUGUAGCAGUGAAAUGCGUAGAUAUGCGGAGGAAAACCGAUGGCGAAGGCAGCCUCCUGGGAUAAAACUGACGCUAAUGCACGAAAGCGUGGGGAGCAAACAGG